RNAcentral lists this ribosomal RNA (1142 nucleotides) under Francisella tularensis. RNAcentral describes it as "bacterial SSU rRNA". It matches the Rfam family "Bacterial small subunit ribosomal RNA", at positions 142 to 1282 of the family's 1533-position model. Lineage: Bacteria; Pseudomonadati; Pseudomonadota; Gammaproteobacteria; Thiotrichales; Francisellaceae. The record is from RNAcentral.
AUUACCAGUUGGAAACGACUGUUAAUACCGCAUAAUAUCUGUGGAUUAAAGGUGGCUUUCGGGCUGUCGCAGAUGGAUGAGCCUGCGUUGGAUUAGCUAGUUGGUGGGGUAAGGGCCCACCAAGGCUACGAUCCAUAGCUGAUUUGAGAGGAUGAUCAGCCACAUUGGGACUGAGACACGGCCCAAACUCCUACGGGAGGCAGCAGUGGGGAAUAUUGGACAAUGGGGGCAACCCUGAUCCAGCAAUGCCAUGUGUGUGAAGAAGGCCCUAGGGUUGUAAAGCACUUUAGUUGGGGAGGAAAGCCUCAAGGUUAAUAGCCUUGGGGGAGGACGUUACCCAAAGAAUAAGCACCGGCUAACUCCGUGCCAGCAGCCGCGGUAAUACGGGGGGUGCAAGCGUUAAUCGGAAUUACUGGGCGUAAAGGGUCUGUAGGUGGUUUGUUAAGUCAGAUGUGAAAGCCCAGGGCUCAACCUUGGAACUGCAUUUGAUACUGGCAAACUAGAGUACGGUAGAGGAAUGGGGAAUUUCUGGUGUAGCGGUGAAAUGCGUAGAGAUCAGAAGGAACACCAAUGGCGAAGGCAACAUUCUGGACCGAUACUGACACUGAGGGACGAAAGCGUGGGGAUCAAACAGGAUUAGAUACCCUGGUAGUCCACGCUGUAAACGAUGAGUACUAGCUGUUGGAGUCGGUGUAAAGGCUCUAGUGGCGCAGCUAACGCGAUAAGUACUCCGCCUGGGGACUACGGCCGCAAGGCUAAAACUCAAAGGAAUUGACGGGGACCCGCACAAGCGGUGGAGCAUGUGGUUUAAUUCGAUGCAACGCGAAGAACCUUACCUGGUCUUGACAUCCUGCGAACUUUCUAGAGAUAGAUUGGUGCCUUCGGGAACGCAGUGACAGGUGCUGCACGGCUGUCGUCAGCUCGUGUUGUGAAAUGUUGGGUUAAGUCCCGCAACGAGCGCAACCCCUAUUGAUAGUUACCAUCAUUAAGUUGGGUACUCUAUUAAGACUGCCGCUGACAAGGCGGAGGAAGGUGGGGACGACGUCAAGUCAUCAUGGCCCUUACGACCAGGGCUACACACGUGCUACAAUGGGUAUUACAGAGGGCUGCGAAGGUGCGAGCUGGAGCGAAAUCCAAAAAGG